RNAcentral lists this ribosomal RNA (433 nucleotides) under uncultured bacterium. RNAcentral's name for it is "partial 16S ribosomal RNA". It matches the Rfam family "Bacterial small subunit ribosomal RNA", at positions 29 to 507 of the family's 1533-position model. The record is from RNAcentral.
AACGAACGCUGGCGGCAGGCUUAAUACAUGCGAGUCGAGCGGGCACUUCGGUGUCAGCGGCGCACGGGUGCGUAACGCGUGGGAACAUGCCUUUAGGUACGGAACAACCAAGGGAAACUUUGGCUAAUACCGUAUAAUAUCUCUGGAUCAAAGAUUUAUCGCCUAAAGAUUGGCCCGCGUUAGAUUAGGUAGUUGGUGGGGUAAUGGCCUACCAAGCCGACGAUCUAUAGGGGGUCUGAGAGGAUGAUCCCCCACACUGGAACUGAGACACGGUCCAGACUCCUACGGGAGGCAGCAGUAAGGAAUAUUGGACCAUGGGCGAAAGCCUGAUCCAGCCAUGCCGCGUGAGUGAUGAAGGCCUUAGGGUUGUAAAGCUCUUUUAGAUGGGAAGAUAAUGACUGUACCAUCAGAAUAAGCCCCGGCUAAAUUCGUG